This 490-nucleotide ribosomal RNA is filed under the name uncultured bacterium. RNAcentral describes it as "bacterial SSU rRNA". It matches the Rfam family "Bacterial small subunit ribosomal RNA", at positions 501 to 994 of the family's 1533-position model. The record is from RNAcentral.
CUACGUGCCAGCAGCCGCGGUAAUACGGAAGGUCCAGGCGUUAUCCGGAUUUAUUGGGUUUAAAGGGAGCGUAGGCGGAUUAUUAAGUCAGUGGUGAAAGACGGUGGCUCAACCAUCGUUAGCCAUUGAAACUGGUAGUCUUGAGUGCAGACAGGGAUGCUGGAACUCGUGGUGUAGCGGUGAAAUGCUUAGAUAUCACGAUGAACUCCGAUCGCGAAGGCAGGUGUCCGGGCUGCAACUGACGCUGAGGCUCGAAAGUGUGGGUAUCAAACAGGAUUAGAUACCCUGGUAGUCCACACAGUAAACGAUGUAUACUCGCGGUUUGCGAUAUAAUGUAAGCCGCCAAGCGAAAGCAUUAAGUAUACCACCUGGGGAGUACGCCGGCAACGGUGAAACUCAAAGGAAUUGACGGGGGCCCGCACAAGCGGAGGAACAUGUGGUUUAAUUCGAUGAUACGCGAGGAACCUUACCCGGGCUUGAAUUGCAGAGG